Molecule: long non-coding RNA, 536 nt
Organism: Pleuronectes platessa (European plaice)
Lineage: Eukaryota; Metazoa; Chordata; Actinopteri; Pleuronectiformes; Pleuronectidae
Exons: 3
Source: RefSeq, a predicted model, not a curated record
CACUGUGUGCGCUGCAGACCAAAGGCGCUCGGAUGCUGUCUCUGUGUCGUCUUGCAGACAAAAGCCAGACGGAGAAAAAGAGCCGCUGCAGACGACUACCACGGGGAGUUAUUCUCUCUGUCAAACAUGUUUGCUGUGGACUUGCUUGUUUGUUUAUUGGUGGCUUGUCCCGUUUGGAAUCUGAGAGCUGAUCCAGUGCUUACAGUCAACCCUGCAACAAAGUGGGAGAAGUGCUCAGGUUUCGUCUGUUUGACUCUUUGUCUGGAAAUCACAGCUGCCUUUUCCUUCUGGCUGUCGCUCUGUCUAUCACUCCGGAUGAAUGGGGAUCCCCAGGCCUCACCUCAGCUCCUGCAGGAGAGAGGGUAGUGGGGAGUCUGGAGUGGGGGAGGAGGGCCUCGCCAAGCUCCUGGACCGCCAAAGACAGAUGAGUCACAUGGUCUUCAUCCAUGAUGCCAUCCACUUCAGCUCCGCCCCACCUCUGUGCAAAUCCCUUAAGUCAUACUUCAACAACCAAGUAAUACUGAUUGGAAAUUACA